This 506-nucleotide ribosomal RNA is filed under the name uncultured bacterium. Its description in RNAcentral is "partial 16S ribosomal RNA". It matches the Rfam family "Bacterial small subunit ribosomal RNA", at positions 28 to 523 of the family's 1533-position model. The record is from RNAcentral.
GGUGAACGCUGGCGGUAGGCCUAACACAUGCAAGUCGAACGGCAGCACAGGAGAGCUUGCUCUCUGGGUGGCGAGUGGCGGACGGGUGAGGAAUACAUCGGAAUCUACUCUGUCGUGGGGGAUAACGUAGGGAAACUUACGCUAAUACCGCAUACGACCUACGGGUGAAAGCAGGGGACCUUCGGGCCUUGCGCGAUUGAAUGAGCCGAUGUCGGAUUAGCUAGUUGGCGGGGUAAAGGCCCACCAAGGCGACGAUCCGUGGCUGGUCUGAGAGGAUGAUCAGCCACACUGGAACUGAGACACGGUCCAGACUCCUACGGGAGGCAGCAGUGGGGAAUAUUGGACAAUGGGCGCAAGCCUGAUCCAGCCAUACCGCGUGGGUGAAGAAGGCCUUCGGGUUGUAAAGCCCUUUUGUUGGGAAAGAAAUCCAGCUGGCUAAUACCCGGUUGGGAUGACGGUACCCAAAGAAUAAGCACCGGCUAACUUCGUGCCAGCCGCCGCAGUAA